This is a small nuclear RNA of Nomascus leucogenys (northern white-cheeked gibbon), 109 nucleotides long. Lineage: Eukaryota; Metazoa; Chordata; Mammalia; Primates; Hylobatidae. The record is from Rfam.
GCUUGCUUCAGCAGCACAUACAUAUACUAAAAUUGGAGUGAUACAGAGGAGACUACCAUGGCCUCUGAGCAAGAACGACACAAAAAUUCUAAAAAACAAACAAACAAAA